This is a small nucleolar RNA of Dipodomys ordii (Ord's kangaroo rat), 124 nucleotides long. The record is from Ensembl. Lineage: Eukaryota; Metazoa; Chordata; Mammalia; Rodentia; Heteromyidae.
UGUGUGUGUGUGUGUGUGUGUUUAAUUUGUAGCAAAGACUUACAGACAGGCUCAAAAACAAAAAUCCUGUUUUGUAAAUCCUCAUCGCUCAGUAUAAGUUUUGAUACAUGUAAGAAGGGGUAUA